Molecule: ribosomal RNA, 492 nt
Filed under: uncultured bacterium
Lineage: Bacteria
Description: partial 16S ribosomal RNA
Rfam family: Bacterial small subunit ribosomal RNA
Source: RNAcentral
AGUGAACGCUGGCGGUAGGCCUAACACAUGCAAGUCGAACGGCAGCACAGUAAGAGCUUGCUCUUACGGGUGGCGAGUGGCGGACGGGUGAGGAAUACAUCGGAAUCUACUUUUUCGUGGGGGAUAACGUAGGGAAACUUACGCUAAUACCGCAUACGACCUACGGGUGAAAGCAGGGGAUCUUCGGACCUUGCGCGAUUGAAUGAGCCGAUGUCGGAUUAGCUAGUUGGCGGGGUAAAGGCCCACCAAGGCGACGAUCCGUAGCCGGUCUGAGAGGAUGAUCAGCCACACUGGAACUGAGACACGGUCCAGACUCCUACGGGAGGCAGCAGUGGGGAAUAUUGGACAAUGGGCGCAAGCCUGAUCCAGCCAUACCGCGUGGGUGAAGAAGGCCUUCGGGUUGUAAAGCCCUUUUGUUGGGAAAGAAAAGCAGCAGGUUAAUACCCCGCUGUUCUGACGGUACCCAAAGAGUAAGCACCGGCUAACUUCGUG